RNAcentral lists this long non-coding RNA (276 nucleotides) under Apteryx owenii (little spotted kiwi). RNAcentral describes it as "lncRNA (ENSAOWG00000018276.1)". Lineage: Eukaryota; Metazoa; Chordata; Aves; Apterygiformes; Apterygidae. The record is from RNAcentral.
CUAAAGAAAGAGAGACAAGAUACCUAUAAGGAAUGGAAAAUUCAUACUUAAAAGAGGAGAGAUUUAAAGGAAACUUGGUGACAGCAGAGCUGAGCUGAAAGUGGAGGCGUUUAUGUGGAGGGUGGACGAAAAUGACAGAUAUUCUGCUUCAGCCUGGAAAAAAUGUGAAUGAUUUCCUACUGAAGGAUCAGGGCAGUUGCGGUAGCAGUUCUUCCUGUCUUUCUGAAGACACUGAGCUAAACCAAUAGCUGAAAAACAGUUUCUUUGGAUACUUGU